This 434-nucleotide ribosomal RNA is filed under the name uncultured Ruminococcus sp. RNAcentral's name for it is "partial 16S ribosomal RNA". It matches the Rfam family "Bacterial small subunit ribosomal RNA", at positions 341 to 792 of the family's 1533-position model. The record is from RNAcentral. Lineage: Bacteria; Bacillati; Bacillota; Clostridia; Eubacteriales; Oscillospiraceae.
ACGGGAGGCAGCAGUGGGGAAUAUUGCACAAUGGGCGCAAGCCUGAUGCAGCGAUGCCGCGUGAGGGAAGAAGGUUUUCGGAUUGUAAACCUCUGUCAACAGGGACGAAAAUGACGGUACCUGUGAAGGAAGCUCCGGCUAACUACGUGCCAGCAGCCGCGGUAAUACGUAGGGAGCAAGCGUUAUCCGGAAUUACUGGGUGUAAAGGGAGUGUAGGCGGGACUGUAAGUCAGAUGUGAAAUAUGCCGGCUCAACUGGCAGACUGCAUUUGAAACUGCGGUUCUUGAGUGAAGUAGAGGUAAGCGGAAUUCCUAGUGUAGCGGUGAAAUGCGUAGAGAUUAGGAAGAACACCAGUGGCGAAGGCGACUCUCUGGACUGUAACUGACGCUGAGGUGCGAAGGUGCGGGGAGCGAACAGGAUUAGAUACCCUGGUA